Molecule: transfer RNA, 74 nt
Filed under: Ectothiorhodospiraceae bacterium
Lineage: Bacteria; Pseudomonadati; Pseudomonadota; Gammaproteobacteria; Chromatiales; Ectothiorhodospiraceae
Description: tRNA-Arg
Rfam family: tRNA
About the family: Transfer RNA (tRNA) molecules are approximately 80 nucleotides in length. Their secondary structure includes four short double-helical elements and three loops (D, anti-codon, and T loops). Further hydrogen bonds mediate the characteristic L-shaped molecular structure. tRNAs have two regions of fundamental functional importance: the anti-codon, which is responsible for specific mRNA codon recognition, and the 3' end, to which the tRNAs corresponding amino acid is attached (by aminoacyl-tRNA synthetases). tRNAs cope with the degeneracy of the genetic code in two manners: having more than one tRNA (with a specific anti-codon) for a particular amino acid; and 'wobble' base-pairing, i.e. permitting non-standard base-pairing at the 3rd anti-codon position.
Source: RNAcentral
GCCCCUGUAGCUCAGGAGGAUAGAGCGACGGUUUCCUAAACCGCAGGUCGGGUGUUCGAAUCGCCCCAGGGGCA